This is a non-coding RNA of Pseudoneurospora amorphoporcata, 73 nucleotides long. Lineage: Eukaryota; Fungi; Ascomycota; Sordariomycetes; Sordariales; Sordariaceae. The record is from the annotation of a GenBank genome assembly.
GCACGGUUGGCGCAGUGGUAUAACGCGUGCACUUCAGAGGUGCGAGACCCGGGUUCGAAUCCCGGACUGUGCA